GACGAACGCUGGCGGCGUGCUUAACACAUGCAAGUCGAACGGAAAGGCCCUGCUUUUGCGGGGUGCUCGAGUGGCGAACGGGUGAGUAACACGUGAGUAACCUGCCCUUGACUUUGGGAUAACUCCAGGAAACUGGGGCUAAUACCGGAUAGGAGCUACUGCUGCGUGGUGGGGGUUGGAAAGUUUCGGCGGUUGGGGAUGGACUGGCGGCUUACCAGCUUGUUGGUGGGGUAGUGGCUUACCAAGGCUUUGACGGGUAGCCGGCCUGAGAGGUUGACCGGCCACAUUAGUACUGAGGUAGGGACCAGAAUCCUACGGGAGGCAGCAGUGGGGAGUCUUGCACAAUGGGCGGAAGCCAGAUGCAGCAGCGCCGCGUUCGGGAUGACCGCCUUCGGGUUGUGAACCACUUUCGACUGUGACGAAGCGUGAGUGACGGUAAUGAAUAAGGAAGCACCGGCUAACUACGUG
This 468-nucleotide ribosomal RNA is filed under the name uncultured bacterium. RNAcentral describes it as "partial 16S ribosomal RNA". It matches the Rfam family "Bacterial small subunit ribosomal RNA", at positions 28 to 507 of the family's 1533-position model. The record is from RNAcentral.